This is a long non-coding RNA of Myotis davidii, 91 nucleotides long. RefSeq lists it as uncharacterized. The transcript has 3 exons. The record is from RefSeq and is a predicted model, not a curated record. NCBI's taxonomy places the organism in Eukaryota, Metazoa, Chordata, Mammalia, Chiroptera, Vespertilionidae.
GUGUAAACAGAAUGAGUAUGAGGUAUCACAGACGCUCUAAUAAAUAAUAUAUAUUAUAUAAAAUUAAAUACUGCAAACUGGGGCAGACACC